Molecule: transfer-messenger RNA, 393 nt
Filed under: Chloroflexota bacterium
Lineage: Bacteria; Bacillati; Chloroflexota
Description: Chloroflexi bacterium transfer-messenger RNA
Rfam family: transfer-messenger RNA
About the family: Bacterial tmRNA, also known as 10Sa RNA or SsrA, is named for its dual tRNA and mRNA-like properties. Its role is to liberate the mRNA from a stalled ribosome. To accomplish this part of the tmRNA is used as a reading frame that ends in a translation stop signal.
Source: RNAcentral
GGGCGUGCAGUGGAUUCGACGUGGAAGGACGCUAUUGCGUUGCAGGUCGUGUCGCCCAAACACGUAAAUACUGGGCAAGCACAAUAAGUGCCAAUAACAACACUCCAGCUCUCGCUUACGCCGCCUAAUUUCGGCGUAGCCAGAGUGCUAGGUCAGAGAAGUACCUAGCCGUCCGUCCCAUCCGUCGUCAUCCGGAUGGCUUGGCGGGCGACACCAAAGAUGACGUAGGCGAGGUUCACGCCGAUAAAACCAUCGCCGAAACUCUUAUCGGCUAGUCAACAGUGUACCGUGCUGUUUCGGGCUACUGUUGGCGAAAACAAAAAAACAGCUAAACCUGUAGAAGCGUAAUAGCCAGCUCUGCGGACGCCGGUUCGAUUCCGGCCACGUCCACUU